This 200-nucleotide ribosomal RNA is filed under the name uncultured bacterium. RNAcentral's name for it is "partial 16S ribosomal RNA". It matches the Rfam family "Bacterial small subunit ribosomal RNA", at positions 8 to 202 of the family's 1533-position model. The record is from RNAcentral.
AGAGUUUGAUCCUGGCUCAGGAUGAACGCUAGCGGCAGGCUUAAUACAUGCAAGUCGUGGGGCAGCGCGGGUAGCAAUAUCUGGCGGCGACCGGCAAACGGGUGCGGAACACGUACGCAACCUUCCUUUAAGCGGGGGAUAGCCCAGGGAAACUUGGAUUAAUACCCCAUAGAAUCGUAGGAUGGCAUCAUCUAGCGAUU